GAAAGUUGAGGAGAUUAUUUUUGCUGCAUUUAGGUCAGAGAUUAGACAUUAGCUAGCCUACUUGGUUAGUUAGCUACUGCAAACAAGAAUUUCCAUGGUUUCUAAGAGCAUAAUUUACUCCUUUUACUAAAAACACAUUUUUUGACCAGAAUAUGCACCAAAAUAAAUUCUGAACAGGUAGAAAAUUCAUGCGAGUGUUCUUUAUAUGCAUGUAUGAACCUUACUCUUUACACUUGAGACAUUUGUAACAAGAAAAUUAGUUUGCAGAUUCCAUCUUUAACCAUGAGGGGAGUUAUUCUAACCUGGCCCUAGAUCAGCUGCUUGAGUCAACUUUAGUCCUCCUCCACAACUCACAAAGAAGGGGUCUGGUCUAGAGGUCAACCAAUUAAUCGGAGUAAUAUAAUCAUAUAAUCAAUGCGGUGCCUGAAAUUGUGUCACUUCUCUUGCGUUCAGUGUAAGCAGAGUCAGGGUAUAUGAAGCAGUUUGUGUCGCCUGGCUCAUUGCGAACUGUGUGAAGACCAUAUCUUCCUAACAAAGACCGUAAUUCAUUUACCAGAAUUUUACAUAAUUAUGACAUAACAUUGAAGGUUGUGCAAUGUAACAGCAAUACUUAAACUUAAGGUUGCCACCUGUUCGAUAAAAUACAAAACGGUUCCGUAUUUCACUAAAAGAAUAAACGUUUUGUUUUCGAAAUGAUAGUUUCUGGACUUGACCAUAUUAAUGACCUACGGGUCGUAUUUCUGUGUGUUUAUUAUAUUAUAAUUAAGUCUAUGAUUUGAUAUUUGAUAGAGCAGUCUGAGCAGUGGUAGGCAGCAGCAGGCUCGUAAGCAUUCAUUCAAACCGCACUUUCCUCUGUUUGCCAGCAGAUUUUCACAAUGCUUGAAGCACAGCGCUAUUUAUGACUUCAAGCCUAUCAACUCCCGAGAUUAGGCUGGCAAUACUAUAGUGCCAAAAAGAACAUCCAAUAGUCAAAGGUCUAUGAAAUACAAAUGGUAUAGAGAGAGUCCUAUAAUAACCUCAAACUUCUUACCAGAAAAAAAAGGAACCACCAGCUUUCAUAUGUUCUGAGCAAGGAACUUAAACGGUAGCUUUUUUUACAUGGCACAUACUGCAUUGUCACCUUCUCCAACAUUGUUUUUGAAUGAUUUAAACCAAACUAAAUUGAACAUGUUUAUUUAUGAGACUAAAUUAUUAUAUGUAUUUUAUUAAGUAAAAAUAAGUGUUCAUUAUUCAUUGAGUUUUGUUGUAAUUGUCAUGUAAUUUGGUCCUCCACUACUCACACAGAAGGUGUCUGGUCGCCCUCCUCCACUACUCACACAGAAGGUGUCUGGUCGCCCUCCUCCACUACUCACACAGAAGGUGUCUGGUCGCCCUCCUCCACUACUCACACAGAAGGUGUCUGGUCGCCCUCCUCCACUACUCACACAGAAGGUGUCUGGUCGCCCUCCUCCACUACUCACACAGAAGGUGUCUGGUCGCCCUCCUCCACUACUCACACAGAAGGUGUCUGGUCGCCCUCCUCCACUACUCACACAGAAGGUGUCUGGUCGCCCUCCUCCACUACUCACACAGAAGGUGUCUGGUCGCCCUCCUCCACUACUCACACAGAAGGUGUCUGGUCGCCCUCCUCCGCUACUCACACAGAAGUUGUCUGGUCGCCCUCUUCCACUACUCACACAGAAGGUGUCUGGUCGCCCUCUUCCACUACUCACACAGAAGGUGUCUGGUCACCCUCCUCCACUACUCACACAGAAGGGUCUGGUCACCCUCCUCCACUACUCACACAGAAGGGUCUGGUCACCCUCCUCCACUACUCACACAGAAGGGUCUGGUCACCCUCCUCCACUACUCACACAGAAGGGGUCUGGUCACC
This is a long non-coding RNA of Oncorhynchus keta (chum salmon), 1873 nucleotides long. RefSeq lists it as uncharacterized. The transcript has 3 exons. The record is from RefSeq and is a predicted model, not a curated record. Lineage: Eukaryota; Metazoa; Chordata; Actinopteri; Salmoniformes; Salmonidae.